Molecule: ribosomal RNA, 1182 nt
Filed under: uncultured eukaryote
Lineage: Eukaryota
Description: bacterial SSU rRNA
Rfam family: Eukaryotic small subunit ribosomal RNA
Source: RNAcentral
CGGUAAUUCCAGCUCCAAUAGCGUAUACUAAUGUUGUUGCAGUUAAAAAGCUCGUAGUCGGAUUUCAGGAUUAGUUGUCGCCCUAUUACUGGGUUGUACUUCUACCCUUCCUAACGAACAGCUAUCAUUUCAUUUAUUUGAUGUGGUAGUCUAUCGUUUCUUUUACUUUGAGAAAAUUAGAGUGUUCAAAGCAGGCUUCUGCCCGAAUAUUACUCUUGGAAUAAUACUAUAGGACCUUGGACUUAUUUGAUGGUGAGUAGGACUGAGGUAAUGAUUGAUAAGGACGGUUGGGGUCAUUCGUACUGUAAAGCGAGCGGUGAAAUGCUUGGACCUUUAUAUGACGACCUACUGCGAAAGCAUUUGACUAGGACGUUCCCGUUGAUCAAGAACGAAAGUUGGGGGAUCGAAGACGAUCAGAUACCGUCGUAGUCUCAACCAUAAACUAUGCCAGCUAGGGAUUGGAAGUCGAUCUUAUUUAUGACACUUUCAGCACCUUAUGAGAAAUCAAAGCAUUUGGGUUCCGGGGGGAGUAUGGUCGCAAGGCUGAAACUUAAAGGAAUUGACGGGAGGGCACCACCAAGAGUGGAGCCUGCGGCUUAAUUUGAUUCAACACGGGAAAACUUACCAGGUCCGGACAAAGUAAGGAUUGACAGAUUGAAAGCUCUUUCUUGAUUCUUUGGGUGGUGGUGCAUGGCCGUUCUUAGUUGGUGGAGUGAUUUGUCUGGUUAAUUCCGUUAACGAACGAGACCUCAGCCUGCUAAAUAGUACUGUCAUUCUUGAAUGGCAGCGACUUCUUAGAGGGACUACUUAUGCUAUAACUGAGCGGAAGCUUGAGGCAAUAACAGGUCUGUGAUGCCCUUAGAUGUUCUGGGCCGCACGCGGGCUACACUGGUGAUCUCAACAAGCCUUCACUUGGUUGAAAAGCCAGGUUAAUCUUUGAAAUAUCACCGUGCUUGGGAUAGACUAUUGCAAUUUUUAGUCUUCAACGAGGAAUUCCUAGUAAACGUGAGUCAUCAGCUCACAUUGAUUACGUCCCUGCCCUUUGUACACACCGCCCGUCGCUCCUACCGAUUGGAUGAUUCGGUAAGCAUUUGAGAUCUAGUCUGACUUUCCUAACGGAGCUUCUGACCGGAGAACUUAUUCAAACCUAAUCAUCUAGAGGAAGGAGAAGUCGUAACAAGG